AAGAGCAAGACUGAAAUGAAUGUCGAAGUACAUUAGCUUGCUAAGGGUUUUAAGAAUUUAAGGGUUAGAAGAAUUUCUAUCUGUCACAGAUGUUUGACCGUGACUUUACGUGAAUGCAGUAUCUCUUUGAGGGAUAUCAGCAUGGCAACCUCAUGCCUAGUGUGAGGAGGUCUUCUUCCUGCUCAUCCCAGGCAUCUGUGAUAUGUAGGGCGGGCAUCAGGGAGUGGGAAACCCUGAAAUGAUCUUGUAUCCUUCCUCUAUUGCCGCAUAACAACCCCCAAACUUUAAUACGAUGGUUUAAUACAAUGAUAUAUACACUUAAUGCCUUUCAGACAGUUUCUGUUGGUCAGAGGUUCAGGGGCGCUUUGGCGGGCUGCUGGCUUGGGGCGGGGUCUCUCGGGCACCUGCAAUCGUGUGUCCGAUGGAGCUACAGUCAUUGGAAGGCUGGGCUGAGCUGGAGAAUGGACUCCCUCCGUGGCUCCCUUCCGUGACUCACCCGUGCGGCUGGCUGUUGGCAGGAGGCCGUGGCUCCUCUGCCUGAAGGUCUCUCCACAGGACUGCCUGAGUGUCCUCACCGCCUGGCGGCCGACUUCCUCCAGAGCAAGGUAGCCGAGAGAGAGCCAGGCAGAAGUCACACUGACCCGGCUCUCCGAGGUCACACCUGUCACCUCCACUUCGGCCGCGUGGGCCAGCCCUGAUUCGGCGUGGAAGGAAGGAGAGUUCACGAGGGGGAUGGAGGAGAGACAGAUACAAGGAAAGAAGGACCCUGAUGCUGGACACCAGCCUCAAGUGUCUGCAGCUUGGAGAGGCCGCCACAGGUGCUCAGUCUGGAAGAUUCCUGUUGCCAUUCCCCCACCCCCACCUCCAUAAACCGUCACUCCCUUCUCUGACCCUUUAACAUUGAACGUGCCCUUCAGCACGCUCACCCAUUAUUUACUCCCCAGGAGGCACAUGUUUCCUCUUUGGGGACAACUGACCUCUGGCACCCUCUGGGCUACUUCUGACCCCUGCCCACCUCAGCCCUGCUCGCUGGACCUGCAGAAAGCACCUGGUGUGGGUGUGAGCUG
This is a long non-coding RNA of Myotis brandtii (Brandt's bat), 1067 nucleotides long. RefSeq lists it as uncharacterized. The transcript has 3 exons. The record is from RefSeq and is a predicted model, not a curated record. Lineage: Eukaryota; Metazoa; Chordata; Mammalia; Chiroptera; Vespertilionidae.